UGGUGGAGCGAUUUGUCUGGUUAAUUCCGAUAACGAACGAGACUCUAGCCUAUUAAAUAGUUCACCGAUAUCGUUUUGUCGGUGUUAACUUCUUAGAGGGACAAGUGGCUUUCAGCCACACGAGAUUGAGCAAUAACA
RNAcentral lists this ribosomal RNA (138 nucleotides) under uncultured eukaryote. RNAcentral describes it as "partial 18S ribosomal RNA". It matches the Rfam family "Eukaryotic small subunit ribosomal RNA", at positions 1299 to 1458 of the family's 1831-position model. The record is from RNAcentral.